Molecule: ribosomal RNA, 429 nt
Filed under: Acidobacteriota bacterium
Lineage: Bacteria; Pseudomonadati; Acidobacteriota
Description: Acidobacteria bacterium partial 16S ribosomal RNA
Rfam family: Bacterial small subunit ribosomal RNA
Source: RNAcentral
UGGGGAAUUUUGGACAAUGGGGGAAACCCUGAUCCAGCCAUCCCGCGUGUGCGAUGAAGGCCUUCGGGUUGUAAAGCACUUUUGGCAGGAAAGAAACGUCAUGGGUUAAUACCCCGUGAAACUGACGGUACCUGCAGAAUAAGCACCGGCUAACUACGUGCCAGCAGCCGCGGUAAUACGUAGGGUGCAAGCGUUAAUCGGAAUUACUGGGCGUAAAGCGUGCGCAGGCGGUUCGGAAAGAAAGAUGUGAAAUCCCAGAGCUCAACUUUGGAACUGCAUUUUUAACUACCGGGCUAGAGUGUGUCAGAGGGAGGUGGAAUUCCGCGUGUAGCAGUGAAAUGCGUGGAUAUGCGGAGGAACACCGAUGGCGAAGGCAGCCUCCUGGGAUAAAGCUGACGCUCAUGAACGAAGGCGUGGGGAGCAAACAGG